GGAAAUUGUCACCUGCUCUUUGAAAACUUUGCUUUUUGCAAGGUAUUCUUCUCAGAUCUGAGUUGUACCUUGCCAGCACAAAAACAAAUAAAUAAAUAAAUCCCACAAUUCUUCACUGAACAAUAUUGAGAAACACAACUGUUCAAAGAGAAAUAAGUGCCAUGUUUUUGUCUGCAGCUGUUGUGUGGAUCUGACCUUAAUUGUAUUCAAAAUUCAAAAUUUGCAUUUACGAAAGAUAUACACCAUUAAAUACAUAUGUAAUUCUUUCCCUACUAUGUGCUGGAAUAAAGAAGCAGAUGUUCAACAGGCCAUGUUUUAGGGUGGUAUUGAUUCAUAUGUAGGAUGAUACAACUGGCUCUGGAACUCAACUUCAUCAUCUACGAGAAGAUGUGUGAAAGCAUGUGGCCUUGUGCCAGAGCAACCACAAGUGUGACAUCAAGAUGUUGGUGGAGUGUUUCAAGGAGUCACCCAGUAAAGCCAGCUUGAUGCCCUCAGAGCUACUGGUCAGUCUGAAAAGGACACUCAUGUGAAUGUCAACUGAAGGAGAUGUCCGUGCCCUGAGGUUUCCUCACUCCGACUAAUAGGCCAAGGAACACAUUCCUCUCUGCUCAUGUAAACUUAGGUCUUUAUUGCUACGCUGGUUUGU
This 646-nucleotide long non-coding RNA is filed under the name Phasianus colchicus (ring-necked pheasant). RNAcentral's name for it is "lncRNA (ENSPCLG00000005554.1)". Lineage: Eukaryota; Metazoa; Chordata; Aves; Galliformes; Phasianidae. The record is from RNAcentral.